AGACCCGAAACCCGGUGAUCUAGCCAUGGGCAGGUUGAAGGUUGGGUAACACUAACUGGAGGACCGAACCGACUAAUGUUGAAAAAUUAGCGGAUGACCUGUGGCUGGGGGUGAAAGGCCAAUCAAACCGGGAGAUAGCUGGUUCUCCCCGAAAGCUAUUUAGGUAGCGCCUCGUGAAUUCAUCUCCGGGGGUAGAGCACUGUUUCGGCUAGGGGGCCAUCCCGGCUUACCAACCCGAUGCAAACUGCGAAUACCGGAGAAUGUUAUCACGGGAGACACACGGCGGGUGCUAACGUCCGUCGUGAAGAGGGAAACAACCCAGACCGCCAGCUAAGGUCCCAAAGUCAUGGUUAAGUGGGAAACGAUGUGGGAAGGCCCAGACAGCCAGGAUGUUGGCUUAGAAGCAGCCAUCAUUUAAAGAAAGCGUAAUAGCUCACUGGUCGAGUCGGCCUGCGCGGAAGAUGUAACGGGGCUAAACCAUGCACCGAAGCUGCGGCAGCGACACUGUGUGUUGUUGGGUAGGGGAGCGUUCUGUAAGCCUGUGAAGGUGUGUCGUGAGGCAUGCUGGAGGUAUCAGAAGUGCGAAUGCUGACAUAAGUAACGAUAAAGCGGGUGAAAAGCCCGCUCGCCGGAAGACCAAGGGUUCCUGUCCAACGUUAAUCGGGGCAGGGUGAGUCGACCCCUAAGGCGAGGCCGAAAGGCGUAGUCGAUGGGAAACGGGUUAAUAUUCCCGUACUUGGUGUUACUGCGAAGGGGGGACGGAGAAGGCUAUGUUGGCCGGGCGACGGUUGUCCCGGUUUAAGCGUGUAGGUGUGUGUUCCAGGUAAAUCCGGUUCACUUUAACACUGAGGCGUGACGACGAGGCACUACGGUGCUGAAGCAACAAAUGCCCUGCUUCCAGGAAAAGCCUCUAAGCAUCAGGUAACAUCAAAUCGUACCCCAAACCGACACAGGUGGUCAGGUAGAGAAUACCAAGGCGCUUGAGAGAACUCGGGUGAAGGAACUAGGCAAAAUGGUGCCGUAACUUCGGGAGAAGGCACGCUGACACGUAGGUGAAGUGAUUUACUCAUGGAGCUGAAGUCAGUCGAAGAUACCAGCUGGCUGCAACUGUUUAUUAAAAACACAGCACUGUGCAAACACGAAAGUGGACGUAUACGGUGUGACGCCUGCCCGGUGCCGGAAGGUUAAUUGAUGGGGUCAGCGCAAGCGAAGCUCCUGAUCGAAGCCCCGGUAAACGGCGGCCGUAACUAUAACGGUCCUAAGGUAGCGAAAUUCCUUGUCGGGUAAGUUCCGACCUGCACGAAUGGCGUAAUGAUGGCCAGGCUGUCUCCACCCGAGACUCAGUGAAAUUGAACUCGCUGUGAAGAUGCAGUGUACCCGCGGCAAGACGGAAAGACCCCGUGAACCUUUACUAUAGCUUGACACUGAACAUUGAGCCUUGAUGUGUAGGAUAGGUGGGAGGCUUUGAAGUGUGGACGCCAGUCUGCAUGGAGCCGACCUUGAAAUACCACCCUUUAAUGUUUGAUGUUCUAACGUGGACCCGUUACCCGGGUUGCGGACAGUGUCUGGUGGGUAGUUUGACUGGGGCGGUCUCCUCCUAAAGAGUAACGGAGGAGCACGAAGGUUGGCUAAUCCUGGUCGGACAUCAGGAGGUUAGUGCA
Molecule: ribosomal RNA, 1661 nt
Filed under: Salmonella enterica subsp. enterica serovar Enteritidis
Lineage: Bacteria; Pseudomonadati; Pseudomonadota; Gammaproteobacteria; Enterobacterales; Enterobacteriaceae
Description: partial 23S ribosomal RNA
Rfam family: Bacterial large subunit ribosomal RNA
Source: RNAcentral